Molecule: long non-coding RNA, 3450 nt
Filed under: Daphnia magna
Lineage: Eukaryota; Metazoa; Arthropoda; Branchiopoda; Diplostraca; Daphniidae
Description: uncharacterized LOC116916480, transcript variant X8
Source: RNAcentral
GUUUUCCACCUCCAUCCCCCUUUUUCUCGCAUACUAAAAACAAAGAAGAUAUUCUCCAUACACAGGAAUAUCAAAGCGUAAACAGAAAUAAUAGCGGCACAAAAAUUUCCCGCCAAUUCGAGAGGUCUCAUAAUUGUGGCUGCACAUAAUGUAUACUAGCGUGCAAAGCUUCACCCAUUGUAAAUUCGCAAGGAGCGACGGUAUAUUUCUUGUCGCGUCCUAGAGAAAGACAUCACGUGAAAUUCUUCUCUGGUUUCGUUGAAUCUUGAAAAAUCUGUUGGGCUGCGUUUCUCGUCUGAACUGUUAAGAUUCGAUUGCAUGCCAGAAGUUUUCAAAUUUAUUUAGAAUCAUCAUUGACUAAUAGAGUUCAAACAAAAAUGGCAUGUGGAAUGCUGCAAAAAAUCCUUGAUAAGGGCAGCGUCAGAGGGAAACAUGGAAAUUCAUAGUUUGUUUGGUUUUCCAACUUGAACACUUUUGCUUUUGUAUUUUUCCAUACAACCACACCGUACAAUUUGUAAGUGGUGUGUAUUACUCUGUACCACUGGGACACACAAUGUGUUUCAUGCUGAAAAUGCCUCAAGUUCUUGAACAGAAGCAUUAGGAUGAAACAGGAUGGUAAAAAUCAUCAGCACGAAAUGGGUGUUUUAAUCCUGGAAGAUUUGCAAUUGGUGCAUUCUGCAAAAAAGAAAUCUAAAACUACAUAUAGGGUCUGCUGGAUUGUCUCUUUGGGGGCCACUAAAUUGUAUUACAUAUGCACCCAAACAAUGUUUCAGUGGUUGUUGAUUGUUGAGGCAUCUCUACACUCGAUUGUGCUUUUCCAAGGAUGCAUUGGUCAAUGGGUUUUCCUCUAGUCCUUUAAGGUUCCUGAAAUCAGCCUGAAGAUCUACACAGACAAACAUCAUGUGGAUUUCAGCGGUUCUAACCGUGGCCUGUUUUGUACGCGAUUGGAAGGUGAAAUGACUUUGGCUGUCGCUGAGCUAUUAACAGAGCUGACAUCCGAAGUCACAACACCACUUUUUCUUUUUAACGUCAUCAAAUCCCUGGUCGUGUUCUUUUGCACUGAUGCAGCAUUAGCAUCGAAAAAGGAAGGUGGAGACUCAAAAUUCCUUUCGCGAACAGUAAAAAUGUCUUGUUAAGAGACUGCCAUAAGCAUCACUCAAUCCUGAUGACGUUCUCGCCGCAUCUCUUUCAGCCUAUUGGGACCGAAGGCCCAUCUUAAUCGUACUUGCUGAUAAGGAAGUUUCUGAAUUGCCAAUCCAGCUGACUGACAACACGCUCCCAAAUGGCUUGACCACCUUGCGCAAAAGAAAGACCAGAGGACGAAUAGUCACUUUGAUCUCCGUAUUUGCCGUGGUUUUACGGCUGUCAUCAAGUAGUCUGUCGGACCCAAAUAUUCGAGUGGCUGGAUGAAAGUGUAUGCAGCUCCAUCAUUCCCGGCUGGCUCCGAUAAUCUUCUGAUCGAUUGACCCCAAUAGUAUGCAAAAUCUUCAGCGGAUGGUGGAUGAUGGAAAAGGGAACGAGAAUAACAACAAAGAGAAGGUAUUUUUUUUUUUUUUACGUCAGAGACGAGUAGGGCCAUUACGACAAAUGCAUUUCCAAUUCAAUAAAUAACAGCAUAUAUGGAAGAGAACAAAUUGAGACGAAGAAAAUAGCGUGACUCGGUUUUUGAUGGAUUAGCUGUAGUCUUGUCACUCUGUAAAUUUUAUAUGAAAUCAACAAAUUUAACAAUCAAUUAUCUAAGAAUUGGCUUCAUUUCAUUGUUUUGAUAAUUCAAUUCACGUAAUACGAUGACAGUGCUGGAUUUUAUUUGUUUUUCUCAUUGAACGUUCCUGGCAGCAAUGGACGUUAAUUCUAUGUCUAAUCUUGGACUGUUGGUAGUUCAAGUCAUGGUCGAACUAUUUGACGCUGCCAGUAUAGCGAUGAUGCCCGGUGUUGCCGCCGUUGUCGUCGAAUUCAAAAUUGUCCCCAGCUGGCCCGUCUGUUGCGGCGAGAAAACGUUACUGGAUGCCGUCCCGUUUAUCUGGAUCAUGUCCCCGUUACUUGAAACGGAAGUGAACGUCUGCAAUUCAUUUUCUUUGCGCACUAGAACGAGAGAGACAAAAAGGGAUGAAACAAGUCACCACGAUUUGCCGUCCAUUUGGCAUUUUGCCGGCUGCAAUAUGGCCGGUAUCGGUUAGAAAAGGAAAUGGUCAGCAGACGAUAACCAGAAGUCGAUGACCGAUGGAUACACGCCAUGGCCCGCCUUAUAGUCGCGAGGCCGUUUCACAUGGCAACGGCCACGUGUGAUAAUCCCUUGCAGCACGCUGCACCGUGUGUGUACAAUCGGAGAAACGUCGAGACGGUCUUAAGUUAUAAAAUCUGCUGGCCAUCGGCGUAGGAGGAAAUGAGAUUUCCAGUGCGCCGAAGACCGCGAACGGCAGAGACGGAAGGAAGUUGAUGGACUGAUUUAUACCGUACUGCUUUCACUCAUAUGCCGCGGCUGAACCGCAGCACACUCGGCUGGAUGCCAAGUGGAUUGGACAGAAGAAUCGAGUCGACAAACAACAAAGAGAUGGCCGGUAAAAUAUGCAAUACGUUUUUCUACUUUGUUAUUGAUGAACACGGCGACAUUGUUUGCAUCAUAUUUUUUAAAGCGAAUCAGCCAGGACAUACAGAGAGAAAGGACGGCAACGCAGCAUCCGCCAAUGCCUGCAUAAAAUGCAUCGUCCCAAUCUAAACGUUUCGGUGACGCACUGUCCCAUCACACGCAGUCCGGCACAUCAUUGCACCGUGUCGCCUGAGAACAAACAGCUGCUCUAUUCUGGGAACGGCCAACCAUGUAGGUCACACUGGAUGGUCCAACUCGGUUGAGUACGUCCGGCCCGACCCACUGAAUACGGACGUAGUGAAUUCGGCGUAUGUCAGACACAAUCGCAACAUUUUAAUUCAACGUAGAAAUGAGCCAAACAUCGAGCGUAACGCAUGCCGUUUACACAACGUGUAAACUGAUGUGGAUGGAACUCUCAGGGAAUCGCCCAUUCGUCAUCUUUUGGCCAUCGAUGGCCUGACAAGGGACACGAAAUCGCGUAGGCGCCUUGCGUUGAAAGACAUUUCGUGCAGCAGCAGCAGCAGCACACAUACCGUCAUUCUAAAAACGGCUUCGUCACACAGCAUUCGUCAAACGCCGGUUCACUGGUGAAUGGAGCGUGAGAGGUGAAAGAGAUUGAAUUAUUUUCACUUAAAAAACUUGUUUUUUUUUUUCUAAUAUUUCGGUGUCGUGUCGCUUUUGCUGUCCACGGCCAAUCUGUGCCCGUUUCCCCAUUUACGGACGGUUGAAUUUAGAACGUUAUAGUUGUCUGCUGUACGAGCGCUGAAACCCAAUCUGCUUAGCAACUAUGCGAACACCGCCGACGUCUUUCUUAUAUUUAGAUCGUCGUCUGUUGUAGCAAAGUAAAAACACAAACUAUUUCA